Molecule: ribosomal RNA, 838 nt
Filed under: uncultured bacterium
Lineage: Bacteria
Description: bacterial SSU rRNA
Rfam family: Bacterial small subunit ribosomal RNA
Source: RNAcentral
UACGAGGGAUGCAAGCGUUAUCCGGAAUUAUUGGGCGUAAAGCGUUUGUAGGCGGGCGAGUGUGUUUAAUGUUAAAUCUUAAAGCUCAACUUUGAAAUUGCGUUAAAAACUGCUUGUCUUGAGUAUGGUAGGGGUAAAGGGAAUUCCCAGUGUAGCGGUGAAAUGCGUAGAUAUUGGGAAGAACACUAAACAGCGAAGGCACUUUACUAGGCUAAUACUGACGCUGAGAAACGAAAGGUAAGGUAGCGAAACGGAUUAGAUACCCGUGUAGUCUUACCCGUAAACUAUGGACACUAAACGGUAAAUUUUUAAUUUACUGUUAAAGCUAACGCGUUAAGUGUCCCGCCUGGGGAGUAUGCUUGCAAAAGUGAAACUCAAAGGAAUUGACGGGGGCCCGCACAAGCGGUGGAGCAUGUGGUUUAAUUCGACGGUACACGAAGAACCUUACCAGGAUUUGGCAUGCUAGAUAGUUGCUUGAAAGAGUAACGUGCCGUAAGGAAUCUAGACACAGGUGGUGCAUGGCUGUCGUCAGUUCGUGUUGUGAAAUGUUGGGUUAAGUCCCGCAACGAACGCAACCCUUGUCUUUAGUUAUUUUCUAAAGAGACUGCCUGUAAUAAACAGGAGGAAGGUAAGGAUGAGGUCAAGUCAUCAUGCCCCUUAUGUCCUGGGCUACACACGUGCUACAAUGGGAAAGACAAUGAGCUGCAAAUCUGUAAAUUUAAGCAAAUCUCUUAAACUUUCUCGUAGUUCGGAUUGUGGGCUGCAACUCGCCCACAUGAAGUUGGAAUCGCUAGUAAUCGCCAGUCAGCUAUAUGGCGGUGAAUCCGUUCCCGGGCCU